UAAUACGUAGGGUGCGAGCGUUAAUCGGAAUUACUGGGCGUAAAGUGUGCGCAGGUGGCCGCGCAAGUCGAGUGUGAAAUCCCCGAGCUUAACUUGGGAAUUGCGCUCGAAACUACGUGGCUCGAGUGUGGCAGAGGAAGGUGGAAUUCCACGUGUAGCGGUGAAAUGCGUAGAGAUGUGGAGGAACACCGAUGGCGAAGGCAGCCUUCUGGGCCAACACUGACGCUCAUGCACGAAAGCGUGGGGAGCAAACAGGAUUAGAUACCCUGGUAGUCCACGCCCUAAACGAUGAUGACUAGUUGUUGGGGGAGUUAAAUCCCUUAGUAACGCAGCUAACGCGUGAAGUCAUCCGCCUGGGGAGUACGGUCGCAAGAUUA
RNAcentral lists this ribosomal RNA (377 nucleotides) under uncultured bacterium. RNAcentral's name for it is "bacterial SSU rRNA". It matches the Rfam family "Bacterial small subunit ribosomal RNA", at positions 521 to 896 of the family's 1533-position model. The record is from RNAcentral.